AUAACGUUGGGAAACGAACGCUAAUACCGCAUAACGUAUACGGAUGGCAUCGUCUGUAUACCAAAGGAGCAAUCCGCUGAAAGAUGGGCUCGCGUCCGAUUAGCUAGAUGGUGAGGUAACGGCCCACCAUGGCGACGAUCGGUAGCCGGACUGUGAGGUUGACCGGCCACAUUGGGACUGAGACACGGCCCAGACUCCUACGGGAGGCAGCAGUGAGGGAUAUUGGGCAAUGGGGGAAACCCUGACCCAGCGACGCCGCGUGAGGGAAGACGGUCUUCGGAUUGUAAACCUCUGUCUUUGGGGACGAAAAAGGACGGUACCCAAGGAGGAAGCUCCGGCUAACUACGUGCCAGCAGCCGCGGUAAUACGUAGGGAGCGAGCGUUGUCCGGAAUUACUGGGUGUAAAGGGAGCGUAGGCGGGAAGGCAAGUUGGAUGUGAAAACUGUGGGCUUAACCGACAGACUGCAUUCAAAACUGUUUUUCUUGAGUGAAGUAGAGGCAAGCGGAAUUCCUAGUGUAGCGGUGAAAUGCGUAGAUAUUAGGAGGAACACCAGUGGCGAAGGCGGCUUGCUGGGCUUUUACUGACGCUGAGGCUCGAAAGUGUGGGGAGCAAACAGGAUUAGAUACCCUGGUAGUCCACACCGUAAAC
RNAcentral lists this ribosomal RNA (649 nucleotides) under uncultured bacterium. Its description in RNAcentral is "bacterial SSU rRNA". It matches the Rfam family "Bacterial small subunit ribosomal RNA", at positions 143 to 807 of the family's 1533-position model. The record is from RNAcentral.